This 194-nucleotide non-coding RNA is filed under the name Microscilla marina. The record is from RNAcentral. RNAcentral also lists the same sequence under 1 other name. Lineage: Bacteria; Pseudomonadati; Bacteroidota; Cytophagia; Cytophagales; Microscillaceae.
UACAUGCUCUUUGUAUCUGGUACACAAAACCAAGUUUACCAGACACUCAACAGGGAAUCAGGUGUAAGUCCUGAGCAGUCCCCGCUGCUGUAACCCAACACAAAAUAAGUAAGCCCCGGUGCCACUGCCAUUUUAGGUGGGAAGGCAGCUUGCUUUUGGGAAGUCAGAAAACCUGCCAAAAUAAUGGUUUCAUU